This 257-nucleotide unclassified non-coding RNA is filed under the name Ascomycota sp. Its description in RNAcentral is "partial contains small subunit ribosomal RNA, internal transcribed spacer 1, and 5.8S ribosomal RNA". The stretch from base 1 to 47 matches the Rfam family "Eukaryotic small subunit ribosomal RNA", at positions 1785 to 1831 of the family's 1831-position model. Lineage: Eukaryota; Fungi; Ascomycota. The record is from RNAcentral.
AAAGUCGUAACAAGGUUUCCGUAGGUGAACCUGCGGAAGGAUCAUUACAGAGUUCAUGCCCUCACGGGUAGACCUCCCACCCUUGUGUAUCUAUACCAUGUUGCUUUGGCAGGCUGCUGGCCCCCUCGGGGGACAGCCUCAGCGCCCUCGGGCCUGAGAGUCGCCUGCCGGAGGAAAAACAAACUCUGAACUGUUAGUGUCGUCUGAGUACUAUAUUUUAAUAGUUAAAACUUUCAACAACGGAUCUCUUGGUUCUG